Bombus pascuorum is the source of this 1949-nucleotide long non-coding RNA. RefSeq lists it as uncharacterized. NCBI's taxonomy places the organism in Eukaryota, Metazoa, Arthropoda, Insecta, Hymenoptera, Apidae. The record is from RefSeq and is a predicted model, not a curated record. The transcript has 5 exons.
GUGUAUUUGUUCGUUAGAUUAACCCUAACGGUUGUGAGUCGUAGUGAUUUCCUCCUUCUGGAUAGGUUAGCAAAGGAUUUUGCUCGGUUGCCGCCCUGAGGGGCUGAUCCCAACUUACCGACGGAGAUCCUAACAGGAAAACAAGAAUAUUUCAGGAUUGAAAGACGUGGCAGCGUGAUGGGAUGUCGCGAGACGAGUGAAGAAUAUUUUAUCGAACCAUUGAGACAGAUAUACGACAGAUCAAAAAUUUGACGUCACUUUGUACCAUCUACGUCUUGUUAUCUGAUCUAUGAUUCUUUCUUUUAGUCUUGUCAAAAGGUGGCAUAACAAAAAUGAAAAGAAAAUCUCAGGAAUAUGGAAGUAAUCGAAUUAGCAGACGGAGUAACUUCAAAAUAAAUAUUAAAAUGCUGGAACGCGAGAAAUUGCCGACGGAUGGUAAGGUUCCGGCGGGAACAGUAAGAGUUUGGAAAUCUUCCGAAUUUUAAAGAACUUGCUCGACACUGUUAAGAAUUUGUGCAAGAAGCGAAGUGAAAGUUAGAAAAGUACGAUAACAAGAUUAGAAAAAAGAACAAGCUGCUUGGAACUUCGUUCGUUUACGUAGGAAAGCGACGAGAAAGGAUCAUGCGCAACGAUCGGAAACGCGUCUCUCAGAUUUCAAAUUCACCACUUCCCAUCCGUCUAUAACAUCUCGUCACGCGGACGUUGAAAGUGAAAGAUGUGACGCCUGAUCAGACCAAAGGAUUCGCUUUUCAUACCGGAGGAUGUUGAAGCUCGUGAAAGAUUCACGACACGUCCAAGAUUCUCUCGAUGCGUCACAUUAAGCGAGUUAUAAGGAUAUAUCCGAAGCGGUGCUAUCAAUAUCACGACGGCAGGAAGUCAGGAGAAAUCACUGUUACGCCUGAUCACUUCCGCUUUGACGAUAAAACAGAAAACGCGCGAUUUUCAAAUUCCAUUGAAUGAUACAAAUGAAGUGGAGAGAGAGAUUUGUUAUGCAGAUAAGAAAUAUUUCAUCUAGAAAUUGCGAAAGUAGCGAAAUUUAUAUAUUUAAUGAUCAAUAAAAAAAUUAGAACAUGCAACUUUUUAAUUUCAAGCUUCGGAAGAUCAUAAGACAUUCUCUGUUAAUUUUAUUAAAUGAAAUUGACAAAUAGAAUUACCGCAAGACGAAGCAAAAUUUUACCUGGCGUGUUACAAAAUGUUACAAUUGCUCCAAAUUCAAGAAGACCAACCGAUCUCCAUAUUCCACCAAACCUUACAAGUUUCAAGCGAUAGAAAAUGAUUGCACCAUGGAAUUAAUCGAGCUGGCUAGAUCGUUCCACUUUGUUCAAUUGAAUGUAGACCCUCAGGAGCUGGUAAGAGCAACGGUUGUUGGUCCAGCAGAGCAACACCAGCCUGUUCACCCUCUGGUAGCUUCUAUUCUGUGCUACAUCCCAUUGAUGACACCAUGGACAAGGGUGGCAGAAUGUCGCGUGGCGACACGUUUCGCUGUUCUGAGUCACAUGUCAUUCCGUAUGAAUUACAACUCCAUUAACGUUCCAGACAACCUGCGAGCAUACAUAAUGCUGGCGAAUUGAGCGGAUCAGCUUCUCAGCCAAGAUGUUGAUUUAUGGGGAACGAUUAUUAUGCCCUGGUCCUUGGACGAACAGAGCCAAUCAUAAAGUGAUUGAAUUUUUAAUCUGUUACUUGGAAAUCUUGUUUUGCAUUCCAAUUUAAGGUAACUUGUUUUUAAGAGAACUGCAGAUUCCUUUCUUCUUUUUGUUUUUAGCUCUAUUCAUUUUUCAUCUUUUCCUCUUCUUCAUCGUGUUUCUCCUUCUUUUAAAUUUUAAUGAAAUCCAUCCUGCGUUGUUUCACGGUUAAAUUUCUAACAAACAGUGUAAAAAAUUCUGCCAAUUCCUCUGUUCAUCUUCUCCUUCCGUUUCUUUCAGAGUUUGAACGACAGAUAAUGUUUGUUG